RNAcentral lists this ribosomal RNA (468 nucleotides) under uncultured bacterium. Its description in RNAcentral is "partial 16S ribosomal RNA". It matches the Rfam family "Bacterial small subunit ribosomal RNA", at positions 28 to 507 of the family's 1533-position model. The record is from RNAcentral.
GACGAACGCUGGCGGCGUGCUUAACACAUGCAAGUCGAACGGAAAGGCCCUGCUUUUGUGGGGUGCUCGAGUGGCGAACGGGUGAGUAACACGUGAGUAACCUGCCCUUGACUUUGGGAUAACUUCAGGAAACUGGGGCUAAUACCGGAUAGGAGCUCCUGCUGCAUGGUGGGGGUUAGAAAGUUUCGGCGGUUGGGGAUGGACUCGCGGCUUAUCAGCUUGUUGGUGGGGUAGUGGCUUACCAAGGCUUUGACGGGUAGCCGGCCUGAGAGGGUGACCGGCCACAUUGGGACUGAGAUACGGCCCAGACUCCUACGGGAGGCAGCAGUGUGGAAUAUUGCACAAUGGGCGGAAGCCUGAUGCAGCAACGCCGCGUGCGGGAUGACGGCCUUCGGGUUGUAAACCGCUUUCGCCUGUGACGAAGCGUGAGUGACGGUAAUGGGUAAAGAAGCACCGGCUAACUACGUG